GCCCCGGUAGCCCAGCGGAAGAGGCAGUGGUCUCAAACACCAUACAGCGUGGGUUCGAAUCCCACCCGGGGCAC
Molecule: transfer RNA, 74 nt
Filed under: Streptomyces gardneri
Lineage: Bacteria; Bacillati; Actinomycetota; Actinomycetes; Kitasatosporales; Streptomycetaceae
Also listed under: 2 other names
Description: tRNA-Leu
Rfam family: tRNA
About the family: Transfer RNA (tRNA) molecules are approximately 80 nucleotides in length. Their secondary structure includes four short double-helical elements and three loops (D, anti-codon, and T loops). Further hydrogen bonds mediate the characteristic L-shaped molecular structure. tRNAs have two regions of fundamental functional importance: the anti-codon, which is responsible for specific mRNA codon recognition, and the 3' end, to which the tRNAs corresponding amino acid is attached (by aminoacyl-tRNA synthetases). tRNAs cope with the degeneracy of the genetic code in two manners: having more than one tRNA (with a specific anti-codon) for a particular amino acid; and 'wobble' base-pairing, i.e. permitting non-standard base-pairing at the 3rd anti-codon position.
Source: RNAcentral